Molecule: ribosomal RNA, 301 nt
Filed under: uncultured bacterium
Lineage: Bacteria
Description: partial 16S ribosomal RNA
Rfam family: Bacterial small subunit ribosomal RNA
Source: RNAcentral
CAGCCGCCACGGUAAUACGUAGGUGGCAAGCGUUGUCCGGAAUUAUUGGGCGUAAAGCGCGCGCAGGUGGCUUAAUAAGUCUGAUGUGAAAGCCCACGGCUCAACCGUGGAGGGUCAUUGGAAACUGUUAAACUUGAGUGCAGGAGAGAAAAGUGGAAUUCCUAGUGUAGCGGUGAAAUGCGUAGAGAUUAGGAGGAACACCAGUGGCGAAGGCGGCUUUUUGGCCUGUAACUGACACUGAGGCGCGAAAGCGAGGGGAGCAAACAGGAUUAGAUACCCGCGUAGUCCCUGUCUCUUAUAC